GAUGAAGAACGUAGCGAAAUGCGAUAAGUAAUGUGAAUUGCAGAAUUCAGUGAAUCAUCGAAUCUUUGAACGCACAUUGCGCCCGCCAGUAUUCUGGCGGGCAUGCCUGUUCGAGCGUCAUUUCAACCAUCAAGCCCCCGGCUUGUGUUGGGGACCUGCGGCUGCCGCAGGCCCUGAAAACCAGUGGCGGGCUCGCUAGUCACUCCGAGCGUAGUAGUUACAUCUCGCUCAGGGCGUGCUGCGGGUUCCGGCCGUUAAAAGCCUUAUUUACCCAAGGUUGACCUCGGAUCAGGUAGGAAGGCCCGCUGAACUUAAGCAUAUCAAUAAGCGGAGGA
RNAcentral lists this unclassified non-coding RNA (335 nucleotides) under soil metagenome. Its description in RNAcentral is "partial contains 5.8S ribosomal RNA, internal transcribed spacer 2, and large subunit ribosomal RNA". The stretch from base 1 to 120 matches the Rfam family "5.8S ribosomal RNA", at positions 35 to 154 of the family's 154-position model. The record is from RNAcentral.